CAUGUUGAGUUAUUCCAUGGAGAGGCCCAAGGAAUGAAGAGUGUGGCCUCUGGCCAACAGCCUCCAACAACCAUGUGAGUGAGCUUGAAAGUGGAUCCUUCUAUAGUCUAGUCUUCAGAUGAGAUCACAGCCCAACUGAUACCUUGACUGCAACCUGAACACAGCAGAAGUGACGCCAUGCCUUUCCCAUGCCUGGGCUCAAGAGACCCUGCACAAUAAUGUUGGCCGCUCUCUUAGGACCCUCCUGCUGCUCCAUGCACAAACCCGUGGGUAGGAUGAGAGGUCGUGUGGAGAAAUACUGAGUCAGCCCAGUUGCCCCAGGCAAGCGAGGCAGCCCAACCAAGAACAGCAAAAUGCCACCUACCUGACCACGGGGACAUGUAUGAACUCAGCCAUACUCAGCUCAGAUGACUGGAAGUGCCCAGCUGACCCACUGACAUGGGAUUAAAAAUUGUCAUGAUAUGCCA
Long non-coding RNA from Herpailurus yagouaroundi (jaguarundi), 467 nucleotides. RefSeq lists it as uncharacterized. The transcript has 2 exons. Lineage: Eukaryota; Metazoa; Chordata; Mammalia; Carnivora; Felidae. The record is from RefSeq and is a predicted model, not a curated record.